Molecule: long non-coding RNA, 558 nt
Organism: Oncorhynchus tshawytscha (Chinook salmon)
Lineage: Eukaryota; Metazoa; Chordata; Actinopteri; Salmoniformes; Salmonidae
Source: Ensembl
UGUGUGUCCCCACAAGGUUAGUUAUACGAGACUGUGUGUGUGUGUGUCUGUGUGUCCCCACAAGGUUAGUUAUACGAGACUGUGUGUGUGUCCCCACAAGGUUAGUUAUACGAGACUGUGUGUGUCUGUGUGUCCCCACAAGGUUAGUUAUACGAGACUGUGUGUGUGUCUGUGUGUCCCCACAAGGUCAGUUAUACAAGACUGUGUGUGUGUCUGUGUGUCCCCACAAGGUUAGUUAUACGAGACUGUGUGUGUGUCUGUGUGUGUCCCCACAAGGUUAGUUAUACGAGACUGUGUGUGUGUCUGUGUGUGUCCCCACAAGGUUAGUUAUACGAGACUGUGUGUGUGUCUGUGUGUGUCCCCACAAGGUUAGUUAUACGAGACUGUGUGUGUGUGUGUGUGUCCCCACAAGGUUAGUUAUACGAGACUGUGUGUGUGUGUGUGUGUCCCCACAAGGUUAGUUAUACAAGACUGGGUGUGUGUGUCUGUGUGUCCCCACAAGGUUAGUUAUACGAGACUGUGUGUGUGUGACUCACUUCGACAGCAGCGAGUCCUCCA